This 274-nucleotide ribosomal RNA is filed under the name uncultured bacterium. RNAcentral describes it as "partial 16S ribosomal RNA". It matches the Rfam family "Bacterial small subunit ribosomal RNA", at positions 523 to 796 of the family's 1533-position model. The record is from RNAcentral.
AUACGGAGGGUGCAAGCGUUGUCCGGAUUUAUUGGGUUUAAAGGGUGUGUAGGCGGCGAUACAAGUCAGUGGUGAAAGCCUGCGGCUCAACCGUAGAACUGCCAUUGAUACUGACACACUUGAGUAUGGACGAGGUAGGCGGAAUUUAUGGUGUAGCGGUGAAAUGCAUAGAUACCCUAAAGAACACCGAUAGCGAAGGCAGCUUACUAGGCCAUAACUGACGCUGAGGCACGAAAGCGUGGGGAGCGAACAGGAUUAGAAACCCCAGUAGUCC